RNAcentral lists this ribosomal RNA (254 nucleotides) under uncultured bacterium. Its description in RNAcentral is "partial 16S ribosomal RNA". It matches the Rfam family "Bacterial small subunit ribosomal RNA", at positions 524 to 776 of the family's 1533-position model. The record is from RNAcentral.
CACGUAGGGUGCGAGCGUUGUCCGGAAUUAUUGGGCGUAAAGAGCUCGUAGGCGGUGUGUCGCGUCGGCCGUGAAAACCUGCAGCUUAACUGUGGGCUUGCGGUCGAUACGGGCAUCACUGGAGUUCGGCAGGGGAGACUGGAAUUCCUGGUGUAGAGGUGAAAUUCGUAGAUAUCGGGAGGAACACCAGUGGCGAAGGCGGCGAUCUGGGAAGAUACUGACGCUGAGGUGCGAAAGCGUGGGGAGCAAACAGG